GGCUCGGUAGCUUAGUUGGUAAAGCGCUCGUCUCGCAUACAAGUCCUGGGUGCAAAUCCCAGCCGAGCAC
Aedes aegypti (yellow fever mosquito) is the source of this 70-nucleotide non-coding RNA. The record is from Rfam. Lineage: Eukaryota; Metazoa; Arthropoda; Insecta; Diptera; Culicidae.